Molecule: long non-coding RNA, 283 nt
Filed under: Drosophila guanche
Lineage: Eukaryota; Metazoa; Arthropoda; Insecta; Diptera; Drosophilidae
Source: RNAcentral
GGCUGCGGCUGCGGCUGCGGGUGCGGGUGCUGCUAUUUGUUGUUGUUGCUUCCUGGCGGCCUACUCCUAAAUUAUGUAGAUUUGUUUUAGCAUAAUGCUCGUGCGUGUAUCUCUCUGAGUGGGCGCUCCGUGAGCGAUUUUUCCAGCUCUCUGCUGCAACGUUUUAAACCGCCAUUAAGUUUCCUCCAUAAAUAUCAGACAACGCCGCCCAGGACCCUAACAUCGCCUCUCACUUGGCACAGCCAACUGAGGAAUUAUGUAAAUUUGUUUGGUCACAGCACUG